Molecule: long non-coding RNA, 268 nt
Filed under: Homo sapiens (human)
Lineage: Eukaryota; Metazoa; Chordata; Mammalia; Primates; Hominidae
Description: non-protein coding lnc-FANCL-5:1
Source: RNAcentral
UUCAUUUAACUUUGAGCCCUUGCCUCUCAGUGUUCUAUUCUGAGCUAGUCAAACAAGUGGUAGCAGGCAUGCUGGGCUCAAUAAUACUGCCUCUCAUAUUUAAAUACUCUAUUUCACUUGGAUUGCAAAUUAAAGACAGUCUCCUGAAUGCUGACACAUUUUCAAUGAUUGAUUUUGCAAAACGUGUUGAUUUUUCCUACACUGUUUUGCCUCUCUGUGUGUCAACUUUGGCCUUCUUUUCUUGCUCCUUUGCAGCACUGCUGUCUCU